RNAcentral lists this ribosomal RNA (626 nucleotides) under Hepatozoon canis. Its description in RNAcentral is "bacterial SSU rRNA". It matches the Rfam family "Eukaryotic small subunit ribosomal RNA", at positions 203 to 822 of the family's 1831-position model. Lineage: Eukaryota; Apicomplexa; Hepatozoidae. The record is from RNAcentral.
UUUUUAGAUAAAAAGCCAUGCAUGCUUUUACAGUAUGAAAAUUGGUGAUUUAUAAUAACUUAGCAAAUCGUAAAGUGAAAACAGACGAUAAAUCAUUCAAGUUUCUGACCUAUCAGCUUUCGACGGUAUGGUAUUGGCUUACCGUGGCAGUGACGGUUAACGGGGGAUUAGGGUUCGAUUCCGGAGAGGGAGCCUGAGAAACGGCUACCACAUCUAAGGAAGGCAGCAGGCGCGCAAAUUACCCAAUUCUAACAGUUUGAGAGAGGUAGUAACAAGAAAUAACAAUACAAGGCAGUUAAAAUGCUUUGUAAUUGGAAUGAUAGAAAUUUAAACCCUUUUUAAAGUAUCAAUUGGAGGGCAAGUCUGGUGCCAGCAGCCGCGGUAAUUCCAGCUCCAAUAGCGUAUAUUAAAAUUGUUGCAGUUAAAAAGCUCGUAGUUGAAGUUCUGCUAAAAGUAACCGGUCUGCUUUUAAUAAAAGUGGUAUCUUGGUAUGUAUUUAGCAAUGAUGUCCUUUGAAGUGUUUUUUACUUUAUUGUAAUAAAGCAUAUUCAGGACUUUUACUUUGAGAAAAUUAGAGUGUUUCUAGCAGGCCGACGCUUUGAAUACUGCAGCAUGGAAUAAUAAGA